GGGGACUUAGCUCAGUGGUAGAGCACUUGCCUAGCAAGUGAAAGGCCUAGCAAGCAAAAGGCCCUGGGUUCGGUCCCCAGCUCCG
Molecule: transfer RNA, 85 nt
Filed under: Rattus norvegicus (Norway rat)
Lineage: Eukaryota; Metazoa; Chordata; Mammalia; Rodentia; Muridae
Rfam family: tRNA
About the family: Transfer RNA (tRNA) molecules are approximately 80 nucleotides in length. Their secondary structure includes four short double-helical elements and three loops (D, anti-codon, and T loops). Further hydrogen bonds mediate the characteristic L-shaped molecular structure. tRNAs have two regions of fundamental functional importance: the anti-codon, which is responsible for specific mRNA codon recognition, and the 3' end, to which the tRNAs corresponding amino acid is attached (by aminoacyl-tRNA synthetases). tRNAs cope with the degeneracy of the genetic code in two manners: having more than one tRNA (with a specific anti-codon) for a particular amino acid; and 'wobble' base-pairing, i.e. permitting non-standard base-pairing at the 3rd anti-codon position.
Source: Rfam by way of RNAcentral